Molecule: ribosomal RNA, 500 nt
Filed under: uncultured Glomeromycotina
Lineage: Eukaryota; Fungi; Glomeromycota
Description: partial small subunit ribosomal RNA
Rfam family: Eukaryotic small subunit ribosomal RNA
Source: RNAcentral
CCAAUAGCGUAUAUUAAAGUUGUUGCAGUUAAAAAGCUCGUAGUUGAAUUUCGGGGUCGGUAGGGUGGUCGUGCCACUGGUAGGUACGGGGCUUACUGAUUCCUCCUUCCUGAUGAACUGUAAUGCCAUUAAUUUGGUGUUGCAGGGAAACUGGACUGUUACUUGGAAAAAAUUAGAGCGUUGAAAGCAGGCUAACGCUUGAAUACAUUAGCAAGGAAUAAUGAAAUAGGACGUUCGAUCCUAUUUUGUUGGUUUCUAGGAUUGACGUAAUGAUUAAUAGGGAUAGUUGGGGGCAUUAGUAUUCAAUUGUCAGAGGUGAGAUUCUUGGAUUUAUUGAAGACUAACUACUGCGAAAGCAUUUGCCAAGGAUGUUUUCAUUAAUCAAGAACGAAAGUUAGGGGAUCGAAGACGAUCAGAUACCGUCGUAGUCUUAACCAUAAACUAUGACGACUAGGGAUCGGAUGAUGUUAAUUUUUUAAUGACUCAUUCGGCGCCUUACG